GACAGGAAGACCACGUCAGUGACUCAACCCACUCAAGUGACGCACCCCUCCCAUGGACGGCAUGGAAGAACACCAGUAAGCCAGUGACUCAGCCCCUGUAAUAGGGUUAGAGGCAGAGAAUCCCAGUGGAAAGAGGGGAACCGGCAAGGCAGAGACAGCAAGGGCGGUUCGUUGCUCCAGCCUUUCCGUUCACCUUCACACUCCUGGGCCAGACUAUACUUAAUCAUAGGACCUACUGAAGAGAUACGUCUUCAGUAAUGACAUUGCUUUGGUCAAGGGUGAUUCUGGAGGUCCUCUCCUGUAUAAUGGUGUGGCAGUUGGGAUCACUUCAAAUGGAGGGAAGAAGUGUGGAUCCAGCAGGAAGCCUGGUUUAUACACCACCAUCUCCCACUACAGCCAGUGGAUA
Molecule: non-coding RNA, 406 nt
Organism: Salmo salar (Atlantic salmon)
Lineage: Eukaryota; Metazoa; Chordata; Actinopteri; Salmoniformes; Salmonidae
Source: RefSeq, a predicted model, not a curated record